Eucalyptus grandis is the source of this 2934-nucleotide long non-coding RNA. RefSeq lists it as uncharacterized. Lineage: Eukaryota; Viridiplantae; Streptophyta; Magnoliopsida; Myrtales; Myrtaceae. The transcript has 7 exons. The record is from RefSeq and is a predicted model, not a curated record.
CGAAACCUAGAGUUCUUUCAAGAUGAAGGAAUUUUGACAAGUGAUGAAGUUGCUCCGUUACGAAACCUAAGGUUCUUUCAAGGGAAUGGGAAGUGCCUCGUUGGAGACUUCAACAACCUUCUCCCUAGUUUAAGAUGGCUUUCUUGGCAAUUUUACUCUAGCCAGUUUGAGGCAACAAACUUUCAUCCGGCUAAGCUAGUCAUUCUUGACCUUUCAUGGAGCACCAUUUCAGAGGAAUGGAUUGGUUGGGAACAACUUAGAGAGGCCAAAAAACUAAAGGUACUAAAUCUCAACUCGUGCAAAGAGUUAAAGAGAACACCUAAUUUAUCUACGUGGGUGUACCUGGAGAGAUUGGUUCUUGAAUGGCUGUAUCAACUUAAUUGAAAUUGACCCAUCCAUUGGUAAUUUGCGAUCAUUGUUGGCCUUUGAUUUAUCAAAUAGUAAAAUUAGCAAAUUGCCAUACUCGAUUGGAGGGUUGGUGAAAAUUAGGCAGUUGGAUUUUUCGAAGUGUACGAAGUUAAAGGAACUUCCAGACUCGAUUGGGGAAUUACAAUCAUUAGUUGAGUUGGAUUUGUCAUCGACAAGUAUUGAUCGCCUACCUGAUUCAAUCGGCAAUCUAAAGCAACUGAAAGUACUAAGGAUGCGCGGGAUAAGAGGGAUAACAGAAUUACCAAGAGCAAUUGGGCUGCUAGAGAAGCUCGAAGAGUUAAAUGCCUGCGGAUGUGAGAACUUGACCGGCGAAAUCCCUAAAGAAAUUGGGAGACUAUCCCGUUUAAGGAUCCUAGACUUGUCGAGCACACCUAUAUGCGGAUUACCUGCCACGGUGAGUCACCUCUCUAAUCUCCAAGAACUUAAGCUAGAAAAUUGUGCCGAGCUUAAACAAUUGCCAGAGCUUCCCCAAGUUUGUCUUUUCUGACAUGGGGCUGUGAAUAUGAGUUUUGCCCCUGGGUUAAAAGAGGUGCCCCAUCUCAACAGGAAAAACCUGUCAUUACUCUUCCCACUAACAUCGGUAGCCUAUCUCAGCUUAAAACACUAAAAUUGGGUUGCAAAAAUGUGCAAUUCCUCCCCCAGCUCCCCUCUAGUUUAAGACAGUUAAACUUUCGUGAUCUGGUAACCACAGGAUCACCAGAUUUUGACAAUUUACGUCGUAGUCUGGUAACCACACGAUCACCGGAUUUUUCCAAUUUGAAAGACUUGUCAUUCUUGACAUUCGAUGUAUGUUCGCUAGAAUUAUCCAGGAUAUUUGAUGCGGAGUCGGAACGCCUCCGUAUGGAUUACUGUAAGUUUAGAGAGUGGACGCACCGCUGGAAAUGAAAAGAUUGAGAAUAUUAACGAUGGAUAAUUGUAAGUUACUUCCAGAAGUACUUGAUCUGUCGCGCAUGAAGCUUGAUCUGUCGCGCAUGAAGAAUCUAGAAGAGGUAGAAUUGAGAUAUUGCGAUCCAAUAGUCGAGAUUUGUGGCCUUGAAGAAUUGGGAUCCCUUUGCUCUCUAACAGUCAAGCAUUGCUUUUGGUUGAAGAGGAUUUCAGACCUAUCGAAAUUCAAAAAGCUACCGAAGCUCGAUGUAGGAGGUAAUUGGAACCUAAAUAAGCAGGAAAUCUAUUGGAAUUAUUGGAAUGGAGAGUUUGGGGGUGACAUCUGCAACGUCGGCGGCUUAGAUUUGUCGUCUGUCCCCGACAACCGCAAAGCUAAUGUAUUCUUCGGCUCCGAUUCCGAUGAUGCUGAAGAGACCUUUGGCUUGACUAACCUGACCCCGGCUCACAAAGUGAUAAUGAUGAGCAGUUUGAAGUGACACCUUAGACGUUGCCUCUAACUCCCCAUGAGUCCCAUUGGCGGCUUCAAUUCGUCGUCCACGUCCGGCGAGCUAAGAGCCGUUGCAUUCUUUGAUGUGUUGGUUCUGCCUCUGCCUCCGCCUCCGCUUUCUCCUCCGCUUCCGCCUCUGCCUCCGCCUCUAGGAGCCCCACCAGCAGCUGGAAUAUGGUAGCACCGCCUUUCACACCAUAACUUGCACUGACGGUGGUAAAACCCCCCACAUUUCAAUAGAAGUUUCUGUUCACACUCUUUGAAGGCCUUAGGGAGUCGAAUCUUGCGCGGUGUGGAACAGCAAUAUCCUCAUUUUCAUCGAUUUCAUCUGCAGUGAAAAAAGUUCAGCUCCAUAAGGUUCUUUUUCAGAGCUUCAAUAAUACGGUUUGGCCUCUUCAGACUAUAAAACAGGUAGAUGGAUUAUGUGCAAAAAAGAGUUCAACACUAGCUAUGUGGGACUCAUGAGAGACGGAGCAAAACGCUUGGUAGAGAACACAGACAUUAAACUUAUUGAUUUCACAUUGUUGCAUUAUGAAGUCUAGGCUCAAGAAACUGACACUUCAGGAAAGCUGUAGGAAAUUAUUCUUGUCAAGGGUUUGAAACUCGAAGAUUACCUGCAGGAGUGUAUACAAUCCAUAUCUGUCUUUGAGAUUGGUUGGUGGAAAAGGAUCACCUAUAGGAUGAAUGCCUAUCAAAUAACUUCUCCAAGGGAGUAGAAGUCAUCAAAAGGGCCAAGUGAGAAAAGCAUUGCAUGCACAUUCUCCUUGGAAUUCAAAUUUACUUGAUGGGAUGGACAGAUUUUGCAGAGAAUUGGGAACUUUAGCAAUCAUUUGAAUAUGUAGUAUUUCUAAAGCAAAGUAGAGGCUAUGGUUAUGUUUGCUUAGGCUUUCAAAAUAAGACUCGUCUAGACUGUUUCUCUUGUUUUUUCUUUUCCCUUACUGAAGAGCUGCUGGGAAUUGAACUCAUGCGAUAUAUACUUGACGAGGCCCACCAAAAUUGGUUAUUGUGACUUAUGAAGAGAAAGCCUGUCAUGCAAAUUCUCUCUUCCAUGGCGUUGUAACUAUCUUGGUGGUUACCUUUAGCUUCUGCUUUAAAAUGUAGGAUAUGGCACACAACGUGAUUUGAGAGAUCAA